This 253-nucleotide ribosomal RNA is filed under the name uncultured bacterium. RNAcentral describes it as "partial 16S ribosomal RNA". It matches the Rfam family "Bacterial small subunit ribosomal RNA", at positions 524 to 776 of the family's 1533-position model. The record is from RNAcentral.
UACGGAGGAUCCAAGCGUUAUCCGGAUUUAUUGGGUUUAAAGGGAGCGUAGGCGGCCAAUUAAGUCAGGGGUGAAAGACGGUGGCUCAACCAUCGCAGUGCCUUUGGUACUGAUUGGCUUGAAUGUAGUUGAGGUAGGCGGAAUGUGACAAGUAGCGGUGAAAUGCAUAUAUAUGUCACAGAACACCGAUUGCGAAGGCAGCUUACUAAGCUAUAAUUGACGCUUAGGCUCAAAAGCGUGGGGAUCAAACAGG